CAGUUCGGAUUGUAGGCUGCAACUCGCCUACAUGAAGUCGGAGUUGCUAGUAAUCGCGAAUCAGAAUGUCGCGGUGAAUGCGUUCCCGGGUCUUGUACACACCGCCCGUCACACCAUGGGAGUUGGCAAUACCCGAAGCCGCCGAUCUAACCGCAAGGAGGAAGGCG
Molecule: ribosomal RNA, 167 nt
Filed under: Parvimonas micra
Lineage: Bacteria; Bacillati; Bacillota; Tissierellia; Tissierellales; Peptoniphilaceae
Description: partial 16S ribosomal RNA
Rfam family: Bacterial small subunit ribosomal RNA
Source: RNAcentral